This is an RNA transcript of Elaeis guineensis (African oil palm), 1758 nucleotides long. RefSeq lists it as uncharacterized. The record is from RefSeq and is a predicted model, not a curated record. Lineage: Eukaryota; Viridiplantae; Streptophyta; Magnoliopsida; Arecales; Arecaceae.
GAGGUCACCAGUGCUAUGUAACGUAGCCGGUUCCAAAACAAGAGAGAGAGAGAGAGCGCGCACCAUACACCGUGGUUUCUACAAAAUCCUUCCUGAUGGAAGCCACCGCCGGUAUCCCCUUCAACUUCAAGGCUCUCGCAAACAAAAGCCAUGGGUAUUAGAGGAAAGCGGAGGCGGUCCGGCGAUAGCCCUAGCGGCGGCGCCGACGACGACCACCCCGCCCCUCAGGACUGGGUGGCGCUCAACGAUGCCCUCCUCCUCCUCAUCUUCGAUCGUCUGCAUUCCCUUCGCGACGUCUUCGUCUUCUCCGCCGUCUGCCGCACCUGGCGCGCCAUCUCCCUGCCCACCUUCUCCACCCUCCUACCCUUCCGCCCCCCUCUCCUCCUUCGCCCCGUUGGCACCCCCCUCCCUUCCGGAGUUCCCCGGUGCCGCCUUCGCCGUCCCCACCGAUGCGAUCUCCUCACCCCCACCGACCCCUCCGCCUCAUAUCGCUCUAUCGUCUCCCGCAGAGCCCUCUCUCACCCCUUCCUCGGCUACUCCUACGGCUACCUCAUCUUUGGCGGCAGUCGCCCUUUCCUCGCCAACCCUUUUACCGGCGAUGAGUUCUUCCCUCCCCUGCUCACCAGCGACGAACUCGCCUCCUUCAGCUGCGCAGCCCUGACGGCUCCCCUGUCCUCUCCCGACUCCAAUCUCCUCCUGUGUAGCUCCCACUUCGUCCUUCGCUGGCGGGCUGGGGAUGUCCACUGGUCUAAACACACUCUGGAAUUGCAAGGUACACCCAUCCGCCAGAUAAUCACCUUCAAUGGGCAGGCGUUCGCUUUUCUUACGGAUGAUAGGCUGUUUGUCAUCAACUUCUCUCCAUAUUUCAGUAUGAGGCAAUUGGUGGUGCCGUGGGCAGAUGGAGGCCUCCAAUUUUGGAUAUUUGCACCUCCACAGCUGGUUGAAUGUGAUGGUCAGCUCCUCAUGGUUCACUUUUCCGCUGUGAAAGAGCAGAUGCUCUUGUCGACUAUCCGAGUUUAUCGGCUGGAUGGGUCGAAAAUGGUGUGGACACGAGUGGAUACCUUGGGUGAUUGGGCUCUGUUUGUGGACAUUAGGGGAAAGAGCACGGCGUCGUGCUCCAACCCGAGUAGGUGGGGAGGGAAUGCCAACUGCAUCUACUGCACAGGGCCUAGCUGUGAUACUUGGGUUGUGUUGCCCCUGGAUGGAGUGGUCUCUACAAUGGACUGCCAGUCCCCUUUAUUUCAUAACCAAUUUUAUUCUGCAGAUAUUCCUUCACCUGUUUGGAUGUACCCGAGUACGCUUUUCUGACUAUGUUUUUGGUGAUGACUCCAUCUUCUUGGUGACAUGAGUGAAUUGGGUUCUUCAAUAUCUGGAAGCUUCAAGUCGUUAUCUUACAUCAAAUUCAAAGGUAUAGCAUGAAUUCGACUGGGCAAUGUACUGGAGAGAUUAGGGACUUGUUGCAGUGUCAUGUGUUCAUAUGCGGGUAUUUACAUGGAUCACAUUCUCUUGACUCAUUUCCUAUGAGGUUGACUGCUUCCUAUUGCUGUCUGUUUUCUCAUGUUGUUCAUCUUCUCUUCUUGUUGCUUUGUGUCAUUGAAUUGCUUACUUAUCUAAUAAGGUAUAAAGAGGCUAUUAAAUAUCUGUUUGCCUCAACUCAUACGCAUGCUAUUGUGCCUGUGGUAGCCUUGAACUGAUAAAGCUGAUCAAUCUGAGAAUUGGCAUAUUCGACUGUUACGUUGGUGGAUGGUCACAAACUUC